UUUGAAGAUCUGAUGCACAAACUCAGGGCAAUGCUGGUUCCCAACUGGAACUGUGGACCUCAGUGGUGUUGAACAAUCGGGAAAAGAAACAUAAAAUGGAAAGGUCUCCACCAGUCAACCGUAAGAAACAGUGAUGACUAUGAUGUAGCCUUCAGCAUGGGGAAGUACCAAUGCCUGCAUUCUAUGCUACCAGCAGCAGCUGCCCUAGCUUCUUUACCACAUCAACGUUUUCAUACACAUUAUCUCACAAUUUGUCUGCUAAGACUUCAGCUGUAAUUUAUGAAGCACUGAAGGGACUACAUCCAUCCGAGUGAUAGAAACUCCAGGCUGAAGCUGUUCAAGC
Homo sapiens (human) is the source of this 343-nucleotide long non-coding RNA. RefSeq lists it as uncharacterized. The record is from RefSeq and is a predicted model, not a curated record. The transcript is spliced from 4 exons. Lineage: Eukaryota; Metazoa; Chordata; Mammalia; Primates; Hominidae.